CGCGCAAGGGAUACGACGCACUCAUUAUCUCCCUUUUUUUUGUUGCUGUUUGCUUGUGAGGCGCAUCGCCGCAUCUGAAGCGAACCUGACUUUGGAAGCAGGGCGACGACUCAGCACCACACCACACACACAGAGGGGGGGAGAGAGACGCCUUUUGGUUUUACGUGGCGGCAUGCGCCCCUCUCGCCCUUCUCCUCGUUUUCUCUCCCGUUUUCUCCAGAGGUGCGGUGCAGCGUCGCACGUGCAAAGCAGGCGAAGGCGUCUCUUCGGACAGCAAGUAAUACCUGAAAACACGACCCCUGCCCGCCCCCCCCCGCCCCUUCUUAUCAGCAAAAAAGAAAACGUCUUCCUCCGUAGCGAAGCGCUCGCCGUGCCCGUUGUCGAGGACCUGCCACAGAAAAGAUUUUCUCCACUCCUUUGCGCUAGUCCCCUUAGCCGGAGUAUGGCUAGUGUCUGCUCGACAUGGCUGUUCACAUCUCCAGCAGCACGGUCGUAGCCUCAUUGUGGGGUUCGGAGGACGUGACUGCCAUUCCACUGCAGCCAAGUGGGCAGUUCCUGUCGCUACGCCUAUCCCCAGCAACCGCCAUCGCCGAUAAUACCGUCACGUCUGUCGCCUUUCACCCCGUCGAUGAGACCUGCUUCGUGCUGGGGACGGGGGCUGGUAAGGCGUAUGGCGUGUCCCUCCAGGAGAACAAGCUCUUUCUCCUUGCCGAUGUUGGCGAACGUGGCGCCCUACGAUGCGCCACCUUUUGCCCCGGUUACCUGACAAGCCCGAUCGUUGUGUUCGCCAGCACUGGCAAUCGACUUCUUUUCCUAGACUGGCAACGCGGCACUGUUCUGCAGGAUGUGCUGGCGACGGCACACCAACGGCCGAUCCUGCGCAUUGUUACAGGCGCGUCGACAGAGUCUCUCUUCUGCACCGUGAGCGCCGACGCCUUUUCUUGCUGGGAGCCAGUUGCAAGUAGUGAAGGCGCAUUCGCCCUCGGCCCGUCGAGCUCCGCCGUUCCAGUGACCAACCACCAGGGGCCCACCAGCACAGCGGGCACGGCUGGCUCUUUCCCGAAAGACCGCAGCACUUUUGGGUUCUCGAUGCCGCGCUACGGGUGCUCUGGCAGUGCGUUGCCUACCGAAUGCACUCUUGAGCUCCAGCGGAGCUGCGACGUUGUGCCGAGGCUCACGGACAGGGUCACGCACCGCUUCCUCGGAGUGCACAUUCUUCACCCAGCCCUAUUCGUCUCCGUGGAAGGGAGCGGUGUAUUAUCUCUGUGGUCGCGAGCUGCAGCAGCUGGAGAUACCGAAGCCGUAGCGCACCAGGGGCCGCUUCGCCUGCAACAGAGCGCGACAACACCGUCGGUGCUGCGAGUGCGGUGCUCCGCGCAAUGCGGGGCACUCAUCGUUCUUGGAGCGGAUGCCGCGACAGUGGACGAGCUCGGUGACCACGUGGAGCCGGUAGUGGCCUUUGUCGUGGGGCAGACGCUGGAGGGUGCGGGCAUUGUACGGCUGCCGAGUGGCGGCACGGGGGCUCCGGCGAGAGAUCGCGCUACGGCCGUUACCGAGGUGAGCGCGGUGCAGUCGGACUGUGUGGCGUGCCUCUUGAGCACCGGUGUCGUGCAUGUAGUGCUGCCCAGCACGUUUCACCUUGUCUUCUCUAUCCCCCCACCGUCAUUAGGCACGCUUCGCCAUCGCCUCGGCCCACGGUCGCACUGGAGCUUCGCACCAUCCGGACCUACCUUUGGCGCCAUGUGGUGCGAGCAUCUCCUCCUCCUUCUGCAUCUGCCAACCGCACGGCGCGGCUAUGCAGGUGCUGCGCAUGCUAUCGAGAUGGCAACGCUGCGAGUCGGUUCCCGAAGCGCCCCAUCAGGUGAAGCUGUUGCCGGCAGCAAGCGAACCCCUGUCAAGCCGAAGUCGUCACGACUGGGCGGCCGCGCCGACGACGCAGCUGCGGCGGCACACGGUGUUGCGGUGGUGGCACAAUCCUUUCUGCGUUCCUGUCAAGCGCCACGUUCGACACCUUCACGGCAAGCGGCGGUGGCUGAUUCUGCGCACAGUCGUGUCGACGCCGCCCUCGCCGUGCUGUCGCGGUGCCGGCCACCCAUUAUCGUUCCAAAGAAGGGAUUCCCUGACAUUUGGCCAGACGUGAACGAGGUGGAUCUGCGGGCCGCGGAGCAGCAGCUGACUGCGCGCCGGACCAGUGACGCGAAAGAGGCUGACAAGGAUACGACGGCGAAUGGGCCGUUGGCCUGGUCGUCGGCAGCGGUGUUCUGCGACACCCUCUCCCCCUCCUCCUGCCAGUACAAUGUGAAUCAGCUGCAAGCGCACCUGCUCAAGCACGGCGUCUUUCCGCACCAGUACCGGCCUGCGAUUUGGCGCUUUCUUGCUGGACUGCCGAGCAAAGCAAAGACGGCCUCGCAGUUUGCCGCCCUCGCGCGAAGACCGCCCCACCUCGCCGUAUUGCAGCUCAUGAACCCCUUCCCACUCCCUCCGUCCAGCACUCGCGACGCCGUGGAGAGCGCCCUCUCCUGUCUCUGCUGGGCCUCUCCCGUCUUCACUCUCGCUUCCUACCUGCCAGUGCUCGUGUACCCGCUUAGCCUUGUCUUCCACGACGAUGUUCAGAGCGUCGUGGAGCUUGUGCUGAUGUUUUUCCUCAACUGGGGAAGGGACUUCUUUGUAUGCCACCCUCACGGCCCGGCAAUGCUGCUCAUGGCCAUGGAGCGCCAGCUGCGGCGACUCGAUGAGCCACUGUGCCAGCAUCUCGACGCCAUGGGUGCCGGUGUAGCGGUGUGGGGGUGGGAACUGCUCACGAGCUUCUUCACGGACUCCUUCACUGGAGCCGAAUGGGUGCAGGUCAUGGACCACAUCAUUACCGCGCCGCCGCUUUUUCUCUUUGCCUUUCACGUGACGUUCGUUCGUACUCGACUUCGGCCGCAACUGACGUCGGCGCUGAGCGUAGACGAGGUGCGUGGCGUACUCCGCCGCGCUCCGACGGCCGCUGCAGCCCCUACAGCACCGUCGCCGCCAAAGUCACUGCAAAGGUUGAUCGAAGAGGGCUACCGACUUUACCACAGCUGGUCAUGCGAGUCAGGUGACUCCGCAACGGACCUCUCCUCGUUUAAGGUGUUCCAGACACUCACGCCUCAGUUCGAGUACCCUGUCAACUUUGCACACGAUUCUGUAGUCCUCGCUGAGAGGCUGCGUGAGCUCUCGCUUCUGCAGCGGAGUCGCGAUGAGGAAAAGAGAGCUGCAGCCCACUUGGAGGCGCUGCGCAAGGCCUCUGCGGCGGCGUCUGCCGUGGAAGCGGCAUUCCUGCUACAGCAGCGAGCUCGCGUAGCGGCAAAGUACGACGCGUCUGCCGCUGCGUGGCAGGUGUACGUGGCGGUGGAGCGGUCGCGGCAAGAGAGGGAGGCGGAGGAGCGGCAGCUUAAGUGGGAGGCGCUGCAAACGCGGACACGCAACGCUGAAGAACUGGAGGCUCUGCGCGCUGAGAUGAACAUGGUGGAGUGUCAGCUCCGACACGACAUGGUGGAUCGUCACAUGGAGCAGCUCAAGUGGCGACUGGCGGCCCACCUGACGGACGAGGAGUUGGUGCGACUGCAGAAGGACGCCGAUGCACAAGUGGAGCGCGCGGUGCAGCGUAUCGAGGAGGACGAGCAGCGGCACGCUGAGGACGCGCUGCAUUACGAGACCGCGCCGCCGCUUUCAAUCGAGGUGCUUCCAGGCGAAGAAAACAAGGCAGCAGUGGGGAACGCGGCGUUGCCGACACGUGUGGUGGAAGACUCGCACCCGUCGACGCAGCCCUCUUCCACAGCGACGAUGAAGGAGGAGGGGUGCGAUAACACAAAGCAGCAAUCAGCCAAACGCGGCCGGGGUGUAAGCGCGAAAAGACAGGAACGGGAGGCGGCGACAGAAGGGCGAGCACCCGCAGGGUGCAUCGGUGCGUCAAUUCAGCCUCCUGAUGCUCGCGUGGCGUUGCAUGAGCAACGCCUCUGCUGCUACUCAUCGUCCCUCUCGGCUGCUAGCAGCAGUGCUUCUUCCUCAGUGUCACUCACCGCGGCGGACGAAACCGGCGGUGGCGCUAGUGGGCCGCUACACCAUAGUUCACAAGCCACUCCUCCUUCAAGUGCUACUCUGUCGCAAGCACCAGUGCCCGUAGACGGCUCUGGUGGCCGGCCUGCCGAAGGAGAACUGCCCGCUAGGGUCUUGGAAAAGGCAAGUCCAAGUGGAGGAGUGGACCCGACUAGCAGGAGGCCGCGCUUGGUGCCACCGCCGCGGCACGCUUACUGCGACGUAGCUGGCGAACAUCGGGAGACUGCGCUGAAUCAGCGGCGGUUUCUGGAGCUACGCGAUCGCGUCUUGAGCAGGGCAGAAGCCUACACCCAACCUGGCGUAGUUGAUCCUUUUCGACGAUACCGACCUCCGUACCGCGGUGAUGGGAGCGCAACCAUGACGGCCAGCUGCACGCCCACGGUCACGGCGACGUCCUCGUGCCCUUCAUCCAGCACGGCGCCCUCCAGUAGACGUCGCCUUUUUGACAACUACGAACCCGAUCAACGUCGCCCCGGCGGUGGCAAGCGCCCCUACGAUCAGCAACAACGGAGGCAGCUUCAGCCACCUGUGGAUUCCUACACCGCGACCGUGACGAGAACGAGCGCGACCUCCUCAACAGGGCAGAGCAUGAGCGGCAGCACGUCAACAACGAGCAGCUACGAGUCGCCGUCCACCUAUACCUCUUACGACUACGACUAUUCCGCGACCGUGUCGACGACGUGGCGCACUGGCGAGACAAGGUCGGCCGGCUCCACCGCCUGCGGCUCUUCACUCGCUUGGCCUGCAAGGCCUCGCAGCGACCGGCUCGCGCAGGAUGACGGGCGUAAGCACCUCUGCGCCUCCCGCCGCUGAUGUGUGACGGCAGCAGGGACAAGCGCGAAGUACAAAGAGAAAACCUCCCGUGCUCAUGUUAUUUUGGGGUUUCCAUCUCUCUCUAUAUAUGUAUUGUUUUUUUUUUGUUUCUGAGCUCCGUCACGUGGUAUCGCUUCAUGGUUGCUGUACGGGGACUGUUCGAUGCAGCGGCGCACUUGUCCGGUGCUUCGCGGCUCUCAUCGUAUCUGUGACUCUACUCAGGUAGGCGUCAUCGCGCUCCCCGCGGCGUCGAUUCUUGCCUCUGCGCUCAGCUCCUGAGAUGCCGCCCAUUACCGCGCCGCUUUACAUUCUGCAGAAGCACG
Molecule: unclassified non-coding RNA, 5219 nt
Filed under: Leishmania donovani
Lineage: Eukaryota; Euglenozoa; Kinetoplastea; Trypanosomatida; Trypanosomatidae
Description: gene:LdHU3.36.6680(CDS-product:hypothetical_prote in_conserved)
Source: RNAcentral